AGGCCCCUCGCAAAGUCUCGCGGCAUUCCGAGUCCGGCGGACGAAGUUGGCCAGCCCCACCCCCCAAGGCUAUAGCCCACCCGUUUUUGGGGCCUUUUUCCGCUGGACAAACUUGGCGCUCCGGCCUUCGGGUGGUUAUUUUUGGGCGCGGCUUUACCCGCAGCCUAUUUUUGGCACACGGAGGCCCCUCGCAAAGUCUCGCGGCAUUCCGAGUCCGGCGGACGAAGUUGGCCAGCCCCACCGCCCAAGGCUAUAGCCCACGCGUUUUUGUGGACUUUUUCCGGUGGACGAACUUGGCGCCCCGGCCUUUGGGCGGUUAUUUUUGGACGCGGCUUUUCCCGCGGCCUAUUUUUGGCACACGGAGGCCACUCGAAAAUUCUCGCGGCAUUCCGAGUCCGGCGGACGAAGGUGGCUAGCCCGAAACCCCAAGGCUAUAGCCCACCCGUUUUUGUGUCCUUUUUCCGCUGGACGAACUUGGCGCCCCGGCCUUCGGGCGGUUAUUUUUGGGCGCGGCUUUGCCCGCGGCCUAUUUUUGGCACACGGAGGCCCCUCGCAAAGUCUCGCGGCAUUCCGAGUCCGGCAGACGAAGUGGGCCAGCCCCACUCCCCAAGGCUAUAGCCCACCCGUUUUUGUGGCCUUUUUCCGCCGGACGAACUUGGCGUCCCGGCCUUCGGGCGGUUAUUUUUCGGCGCGGCUUUGCCCGCGGCCUAUUUUUGGCACACGGAGGCCCCUCGCAAAGUCUUACGGCAUUCCGAGUCCGGCGGACGAAGUGGGCCAGCCCCACCCCCCAAGGCUAUAGCCCACCCGUUUUUGUGGCCUUUUUCCGCUCGACGAACUUGGCGCUCCAGCCUUCGGGCGGUUAUUUUUGGGCGUGGCUGUGCAUGUGGCCUAUUUUUGGCACACGGAGGUGCCUCGCAAAGUAUCGCGCCAAUCCACGUCCGGCGGACGAAGUUGGUCAGCCCCACCCCCCAAGGCUAUAGCCAACCGUUUUUGUGGGCUUUUUCCGGUGGACGAACUUGGCGUCCCGGCCUUCGGGUGGUUAUUUUUGGGCGCUGCUGUGCCCGCGGCCUAUUUUUUGCAAUUGUAGGCACCUCGCAAAGUCUCGCGCCAUUCCGAGUCCGGCGGAUGAAGUUGGCCAGCCCCACCCCCCAAGGUUAUAGCCCACGCGUUUUUGGGGCAUUUUCCCGCUGGACGAACAUGGCGCCCCAACCUUCGGACGGUUAUUUUUGGGCGCGGCUGUGUCCGCGGCCUAUUUUUGGCACACAGAGGCGCCUCGCAAAGUCUCGCGCCAUUCCGAGUUAGGCGGACGAAGUUGGCCAGCCCCACCCCCCAAGGCUAUAGCCCACCCGUUUUUGUGGCCUUUUUCCGCUGGACGAACUUGGCGCCCCGGUCUUCGGGCGGUUAAUACGGGCGCAGGCUAGCCUGCAGCGUAUUUUAGCACACGGAGGCACCUCGCAAAGUCUCGCGCCAUUACGAGUCCGGCAGACGAAGUCGGCCAGCCGCACCCCCCAAGGCUAUAGCCCACCCGUUUUUGUGGCCUUUUUUCCGCUGCACGAACUUGGCGCCCCGGCCUUCGGGCUGUUAUUUUUGGCCACGGCUGUGUCCGCGGCCUAUUUUUGGCACACGGAGGCACCUCGCAAAGUCUCGCGCCAUUCCGAGUCCGGCGGACGAAGUUCGCCAGCCCCACCCCCCAAUGCUAUAGCCCACCCGUUUUUGUGGCCUUUUUGCGCUGGACGAACUUGGCGCCCCGGCCUUCGGGCGGUGAUUUUUGGGUGCGGCUGUGCCCGCAGCCUAUUUUUGGCACACGGAGGCACCUCGCAAAGUCUCGCGCCAUUCCGAGUCCGGCGGACGAAGUACGCCAGCCCCACCCCCCAAUGCUAUAGCCCAACCGUUUUUGU
This 1898-nucleotide long non-coding RNA is filed under the name Citrus x clementina. Its description in RNAcentral is "Citrus clementina (C. clementina) long non-coding RNA (CCLE_LNC005127)". Lineage: Eukaryota; Viridiplantae; Streptophyta; Magnoliopsida; Sapindales; Rutaceae. The record is from RNAcentral.